This 301-nucleotide ribosomal RNA is filed under the name uncultured bacterium. RNAcentral describes it as "partial 16S ribosomal RNA". It matches the Rfam family "Bacterial small subunit ribosomal RNA", at positions 509 to 807 of the family's 1533-position model. The record is from RNAcentral.
CAGCCGCCGCGGUAAUACGAAGGGUGCAAGCGUUACUCGGAAUUACUGGGCGUAAAGCGUGCGUAGGUGGUGGUUUAAGUCCGUUGUGAAAGCCCUGGGCUCAACCUGGGAAUUGCAGUGGAUACUGGGUCACUAGAGUGUGGUAGAGGAUAGUGGAAUUUCCGGUGUAGCAGUGAAAUGCGUAGAUAUUCGGAAGAACACCAGUGGCGAAGGCGGCUCACUGGCUCAUACUGGACGCUGAGGUGCGAAAGCGUGGGGAGCAAACAGGAUUAGAUACCCGUGUAGUCCCUGUCUCUUAUAC